Eptesicus fuscus (big brown bat) is the source of this 105-nucleotide small nuclear RNA. NCBI's taxonomy places the organism in Eukaryota, Metazoa, Chordata, Mammalia, Chiroptera, Vespertilionidae. The record is from RefSeq and is a predicted model, not a curated record.
AAAAUCAAUAAAAUAUAUUUUAAAAAAAUUGGAAUGGUGCAGAGAAGAUUAGCAUGGCCCCUGGGCAAGGAUGACACGCAUAUUCGUGAAGCGCUCCAUAAAAUA